RNAcentral lists this long non-coding RNA (1006 nucleotides) under Numida meleagris (helmeted guineafowl). Its description in RNAcentral is "lncRNA (ENSNMEG00000018631.1)". The record is from RNAcentral. Lineage: Eukaryota; Metazoa; Chordata; Aves; Galliformes; Numididae.
GUUGCAUCCUUAUAUCUUCACGGCAAUAUAUAUAUGUACAUAUAUAUAUAUGUAUCAUAUUAUUGGGACCUGGACAGGCUGGACAAGUGGGCCCAUGAGAACCUAACGAGGUUUAACAAGGCCAAGUGCAGGGUGCUGCACUUGGGUCGGGGCAAUCCCAGGUAUUUAUACAACCUGGGGGAAGAGGUACUUGAAAGCAGCCCUGCGGAAAGGGACUUGGGGGUCCUGGUGGACGAGAGGCUGGACAUGAGCCAGCAGUGUGCGCUGGCAGCCCGGAGGGCCAACUAUGUUCUGGGCUGCAUUAAAAGAGGAGUGGUCAGCAGGGAGAGGGAGGUGGUGGUCCCCCUCUACUCGGCUCUCGUGAGGCCCCAUCUGGAGUACUGUGUCCAGGCCUGGGGCCCCCAGCACAAGAAGGACGUGGAGCUGUUGGAACGAGUGCAGAGGAGGGCGACCAAGAUGAUCAGAGGGCUGGAGCACCUCUCCUAUGAGGAAAGGUUGAGGGAACUGGGCUUGUUCAGUUUGGAGAAGAGAAGGCUCCGGGGAGACCUCAUUGUGGUCUUCCAAUACUUGAAGGGAGCGUAUAAACAGGAGGGGGAUCGAUUGUUUGUGAGGGUGGAUAGUGAUAGGACAAGGGGGAAUGGUUUUAAGCUGAGACAGGGGAGAUUUAGGUUAGAUAUUAGGAGGAAGUUUUUCACACAGAGGGUGGUGACGCACUGGAACAGGUUGCCCAGGGAGGUUGUGGAUGCCCCGUCCCUGGAGGCAUUAAAGGCCAGACUGGACAUGGCUCUGGGCAGCCUGGUCUAGUGGUUGGCGACCCUGCACUUGGCAGGGGGGUUGAGACUCGAUGAUCUUUGAGGUCCUUUUCAACCCAAGCCAUUCUAUGAUUCUAUGAUUCUAUGAUUCUAUGAUUACCUGCCCUGCUGCAUUUUCUUCAGGUGGUCAAUGCCAGGGUGUCUCAGUGUUUUACUAAGAUGCAUUUUUCAUAGAUCCCCCAAGAGGCAAAGAG